This 245-nucleotide ribosomal RNA is filed under the name uncultured prokaryote. Its description in RNAcentral is "partial 16S ribosomal RNA". It matches the Rfam family "Bacterial small subunit ribosomal RNA", at positions 524 to 768 of the family's 1533-position model. The record is from RNAcentral.
UACGGAGGAUGCAAGCGUUAUCCGGAUUUAUUGGGUUUAAAGGGUGCGCAGGUUGUUUGAUAAGUCAGUGGUGAAAGUCUGUCGCUUAACGGUAGGAUUGCCAUUGAUGCUGUUAGACUUGAAUAUGGAUGAGGUAGGCGGAAUGUGUAGUGUAGCGGUGAAAUGCAUAGAUAUUACACAGAACACCGAUUGCGAAGGCAGCUUACUAAUCCAUCAUUGACGCUGAGGCACGAAAGCGUGGGGAU